AUGUCCUCCUGGCGGACGCUGAUCCCGGAGGCUGAGAAGUCGAGGUGGACGGCGCCGCAGGAGGCAGCGCCAUCCCAGCCGCAGGAUGCGCCGAGGGCGAGGCCACCAGUCCGGCAGCCGAGCCAAGGACGAGGCAGGAACCAGCGGCAUCCUCCUUGGACCACCGUGACGAGAGACAUGAACCAGCGGCGUCCUCCUUGGACCACCGCGACGAGAGACAGGAACCAGCGGCGUCCUCCUUGGACCACCGCGACGAGAGACAGGAACCAACGGCGUCCUCCUUGGACCCCCGCGACGAAAGGCAGGAACCAGCGGCGUCCUCCUUGGACCACCGCGACGAGAGACAGGAACCAGCGGCGUCCUCCUUGGACCACCGCGACGAGAGACAGGUGUAGGUGCGGCCGGAGCCGGGCCGCCGGGAACCGAUGCAGGCGCGGCCGGAGCCGAGCCGCCAGGAACCGAUGCAGGCGCGGCCGGAGCCGGGCCGCCAGGAACCGAUGCCGGUGCAGCGGGAGCUGCGACGGGAACGACCCCCUCCUGAAGGUCCGCCGGGACUGCGACGGGCGCGACCCCCUCCUGGAGGUCCGCCGGGACUGCGACGGGCGCGACCCCCUCCUGGAGGUCCGCCGGGACUGCGAUGGGCGCGACCCCCUCCUGGAGGUCCGCCGGGACUGCGACGGGCGCGACCCCCUCCUGGGGGUCCGCCGGGACUGCGACGGGCGCGACCCCCUCCUGGGGGUCCGCCGGAACUGCGGCUGGCGCGACCCCCUCCUGGAGGUCCGCCGGAGCUGCGGCUGGCGCGACCCCCUCCUGGAGGUGCGCCGGAACUGCGGCUGGCGCGACCUCCUCCUGGAGGUGCGCAGGAACUGCAGCUGGCGCGACCUCCUCCUGGAGGUGCGCAGGAACUGCAGCUGGCGCGACCUCCUCCUGGAGGUGCGCAGGAACUGCAGCAGGCGCGACCUCCUCCUGGAGGUGCGCAGGAACUGCAGCAGGCGCGACCUCCUCCUGGAGGUGCGCAGGAACUGCGGCUGGCGCGACCCCCUCCUGGAGGUCCGCCGGAGCUGCGGCUGGCGCGACCCCCUCCUGGAGGUGCGCAGGAACUGCAGCAGGCGCUGCCUCCUCCUGGAGGUGCGCAGGAACUGCAGCAGGCGCUGCCUCCUCCUGGAGGCCGGCGGGCGCUGCGGCUCCGAGGGUGACAGAGACUGGAACGACCUCUCUCGGGCCGACAGGAACGGGGCCUGGGGCGACCUCUACUUGGCCGACAGGAACGGAACCAGAGACAGGAACGCCCUCAACUUGGCCGACGGGAACGCCCUCAACUUGGCCGACGGGAACGCCCUCAACUUGGCCGACAGGGACAGGAACUGGAACGCCCUCAACUUGGCCGACAGGGACAGGAACUGGAACGACCUCAACUUGGCCGACAGGGACAGGAACUGGAACGACCUCAACUUGGCCGACAGGGACAGGAACUGGAACGACCUCAACUUGGCCGACAGGGACAGGAACUGGAACGACCUCAACUUGGCCGACAGGGACAGGAACUGGAACGACCUCGACGUGGCCGACAGGAACAGGAACGGCAUUUACUUGGCCGACAGGAACAGGAACGGCAUCUACUUGGCCGACAGGAACAGGAACGGCAUCUACUGGGCCGACAGAGACAGGAACGGCCGCAACAUGGCCGACAGAGACAGGAACGGCCGCAACAUGGCCGACAGGGACAGGAACGGCCUCAACAUGGCCGACAUGGACGGCCUCAACAUGGCCGACAGGGACGGCCUCGACAUGGCCGACAGGAACGGCCUCGACAUGGCCGACAGGAACGGCCUCGACAUGGCCGACAGGAACGGCCUCGACAUGGCCGACAGGAACGGCCUCGACAUGGCCGACAGGAACGGCCUCGACAUGGCCGACAGGAACGGCCUCGACAUGGCCGACAGGAACGGCCUCGACAUGGCCGACAGGAACGGCCUCGACAUGGCCGACAGGGACUGGAACGGCCUCAACAUGGCCGACAGGAACAGGAAAGGCCGCAACAUGGCCGACAGGAACGGCCGCAACAUGGCCGACAGGAACGGCCGCAACAUGGCCGACAGGAACGGCCGCAACAUGGCCGACAGGAACGGCCGCAACAUGGCCGACAGGAACGGCCGCAACAUGGCCGACAGGAACGAGAACGACCCCUAA
Betta splendens (Siamese fighting fish) is the source of this 2190-nucleotide long non-coding RNA. Lineage: Eukaryota; Metazoa; Chordata; Actinopteri; Anabantiformes; Osphronemidae. The record is from Ensembl.